GGGUUGUGAGGUUAAGCGACUAAGCGUACACGGUGGAUGCCCUGGCAGUCAGAGGCGAUGAAGGACGUGCUAAUCUGCGAAAAGCGUCGGUAAGGUGAUAUGAACCGUUACAGCCGGCGAUGUCCGAAUGGGGAAACCCAGUGCAAUUCGUUGCACUAUCGUUAACUGAAUACAUAGGUUAACGAGGCGAACCGGGGGAACUGAAACAUCUAAGUACCCCGAGGAAAAGAAAUCAACCGAGAUUCCCCCAGUAGCGGCGAGCGAACGGGGAGCAGCCCAGAGUCUGAAUCAGCUUGUGUGUUAGUGGAACGGUCUGGAAAGUCCGACGGUACAGGGUGAUAGUCCCGUACACCAAAAUGCACAGGUUGUGAACUCGAAGAGUAGGGCGGGACACGUGGUAUCCUGUCUGAAUAUGGGGGGACCAUCCUCCAAGGCUAAAUACUCCUGACUGACCGAUAGUGAACCAGUACCGUGAGGGAAAGGCGAAAAGAACCCCGGCGAGGGGAGUGAAAAAGAACCUGAAACCGUGUACGUACAAGCAGUGGGAGCACCUUCGGGUGUGACUGCGUACCUUUUGUAUAAUGGGUCAGCGACUUAUAUUCUGUAGCAAGGUUAACCGU
RNAcentral lists this ribosomal RNA (620 nucleotides) under Klebsiella pneumoniae. RNAcentral's name for it is "bacterial LSU rRNA". It matches the Rfam family "Bacterial large subunit ribosomal RNA", at positions 1 to 653 of the family's 2925-position model. Lineage: Bacteria; Pseudomonadati; Pseudomonadota; Gammaproteobacteria; Enterobacterales; Enterobacteriaceae. The record is from RNAcentral.